This 253-nucleotide ribosomal RNA is filed under the name uncultured bacterium. Its description in RNAcentral is "partial 16S ribosomal RNA". It matches the Rfam family "Bacterial small subunit ribosomal RNA", at positions 524 to 776 of the family's 1533-position model. The record is from RNAcentral.
UACGUAGGGUGCGAGCGUUAAUCGGAAUUACUGGGCGUAAAGCGUGCGCAGGCGGUUCUAUAAGACAGAUGUGAAAUCCCCGGGCUCAACCUGGGAAUUGCAUUUGUGACUGUAGAGCUAGAGUACGGUAGAGGGGGAUGGAAUUCCGCGUGUAGCAGUGAAAUGCGUAGAUAUGUGGAGGAAUACCGAUGGCGAAGGCAGCCCCCUGGGUCGACACUGACGCUCAUGCACGAAAGCGUGGGGAGCAAACAGG